RNAcentral lists this ribosomal RNA (500 nucleotides) under uncultured Glomeromycotina. Its description in RNAcentral is "partial small subunit ribosomal RNA". It matches the Rfam family "Eukaryotic small subunit ribosomal RNA", at positions 591 to 1092 of the family's 1831-position model. Lineage: Eukaryota; Fungi; Glomeromycota. The record is from RNAcentral.
CCAAUAGCGUAUAUUAAAGUUGUUGCCGUUAAAAAGCUCGUAGUUGAAUUUCGGGGUCAGUAGGUUGGUCAUGCCACUGGUAUGUACUGGUCUCACUGAUUCCUCCUUCCUGAUGAGCCGUAAUGCCAUUAAUUUGGUGUUGCGAGGAAUCUGGACUGUUACUUUGAAAAAAUUAGAGUGUUUAAAGCAGGCGCACGCUUGAAUACAUUAGCAUGGAAUAAUGAAAUAGGACGUUUGAUUCUAUUUUGUUGGUUUCUAGGAUCGAUGUAAUGAUUAAUAGGGAUAGUUGGGGGCAUUAGUAUUCAAUUGUCAGAGGUGAAAUUCUUGGAUUUAUUGAAGACUAACUACUGCGAAAGCAUUUGCCAAGGAUGUUUUCAUUAAUCAAGAACGAAAGUUAGGGGAUCGAAGACGAUCAGAUACCGUCGUAGUCUUAACCAUAAACUAUGCCGACUAGGGAUCGGAUGAUGUUAAUUUUUUAAUGACUCAUUCGGCGCCUUACG